Molecule: transfer RNA, 63 nt
Filed under: Systropus sp. 2 YXA-2022a
Lineage: Eukaryota; Metazoa; Arthropoda; Insecta; Diptera; Bombyliidae
Description: tRNA-Ala
Source: RNAcentral
AGGGAUAUAGUUAAUUAUAACAUUUAAAUUGCAAUUAAAAAGUAUUGGAAACAAUUAUUCUUA